This 408-nucleotide ribosomal RNA is filed under the name Micropsectra logani. RNAcentral describes it as "partial 16S ribosomal RNA". The record is from RNAcentral. Lineage: Eukaryota; Metazoa; Arthropoda; Insecta; Diptera; Chironomidae.
UAGCAUAAUCCUUAGUUUUUUAAUUGAGAACUGGAAUGAAAGGUUAAAUAAAAAAUAAUCUUUAUUAGUUUUAAAAUGUUUGAAUUUAUUUUUUUAGUAAAAAAACUAAAAUAAAUUAAAAAGACGAUAAGACCCUAUAAAGCUUUAUAAUAAAAAAUUUAAUAAUUAAUUAGAAAAAUAAAAUACUUUUUUUUUAGUUAUUUAAUUGGGGUGAUUUAAAGAUUAAAAAAACUCUUUAAUAAAAAAAAAUCAUAUUUAAAUGUUUUUUGAUCCUUAAAUUUUAAGAAUAAUAAAAUAAGUUACUUUAGGGAUAACAGCGUAAUUUUUUUGAAGAGUUCAAAUCGAUAAAAAAGAUUGCGACCUCGAUGUUGAAUUAAGAUAAAAAUUAGGUGUAGAAGUUUAAUUUUU